GAAAAUUUAGUUAAUAUAUAACGAUAGUAUGUCAAACUAUAAUAAUUCAAGAAAUAAUUUUCU
RNAcentral lists this transfer RNA (63 nucleotides) under Xyloterini sp. RNAcentral describes it as "tRNA-Asp". Lineage: Eukaryota; Metazoa; Arthropoda; Insecta; Coleoptera; Curculionidae. The record is from RNAcentral.